Molecule: ribosomal RNA, 466 nt
Filed under: uncultured bacterium
Lineage: Bacteria
Description: partial 16S ribosomal RNA
Rfam family: Bacterial small subunit ribosomal RNA
Source: RNAcentral
GAUGAACGCUGGCGGCGUGCUUAACACAUGCAAGUCGAACGAUGAAGCCCAGCUUGCUGGGUGGAUUAGUGGGGAACGGGUGAGUAACACGUGAGUAACCUGCCCUUAACUCUGGGAUAAGCCUGGGAAACUGGGUCUAAUACCGGAUAGGAGCGUCCACCGCAUGGUGGGUGUUGGAAAGAUUUAUCGGUUUUGGAUGGACUCGCGGCCUAUCAGCUUGUUGGUGAGGUAAUGGCUCACCAAGGCGACGACGGGUAGCCGGCCUGAGAGGGUGACCGGCCACACUGGGACUGAGACACGGCCCAGACUCCUACGGGAGGCAGCAGUGGGGAAUAUUGCACAAUGGGCGCAAGCCUGAUGCAGCGACGCCGCGUGAGGGAUGACGGCCUUCGGGUUGUAAACCUCUUUCAGUAGGGAAGAAGCGAAAGUGACGGUACCUGCAGAAGAAGCACCGGCUAACUACGUG